This 2688-nucleotide long non-coding RNA is filed under the name Gossypium barbadense (sea-island cotton). RNAcentral describes it as "long non-coding RNA (GBAR_LNC021740)". The record is from RNAcentral. Lineage: Eukaryota; Viridiplantae; Streptophyta; Magnoliopsida; Malvales; Malvaceae.
UUUUUUCCAAAUCCCAUUAUCUCUUCCCCAAUUUCCCCUAAAUGAUCGAAAACCCUAACUUUUUUCCCCAAAUCCCCUCCUUUUUGUCAUCUUUUAAAUUCUAACCCUUUUCUCUUCUGUAUAAAUUUUUCACCAGCAACAGCAACAAAAAAUUUCUCAUCGCUGUUCUCUUUGCCGAAACCAAAAAAAUUCUGGUAAGUUUUCAUUUCAUUCUAUUUUUUAUAUAUCUUUUUUUUAAAUUCAUUCUAUUUUUCAGUUAAGUAAGGUUUCUUUCCUUUUGUGAAGAGGAAAAUAUGCAGCAGCCUUCACAAUUGAUGAACAUCCCCACUGAGUAGAUUCAAAAGGUUUUCUUUUUUUAUUCUUUUACAGCAUUGCCCCCCUUUAUAUGUAUAUGCAUUUUGGUUGACUGGAUAUUUAAUGGGUUUUCGAUUGAUGAGUUUUGCAUGCAUUGUUUACUGUAUGUAUUAUUAAUGAUUAAAUUAAUAAAUAUUUAGCUUUUUUUAGAAAUGCAAUAAUUAGCUUUUACGUUUAUGGGAAAAAUCUGAAACAUAUUCCCUUCACUGCUAAAUAUGUGCAGUAAAACAUAUUUAUGAUUGACUUCCUGAAUGGUAUGUGUUUUGGUCACAUGUAUGAAUAAGUUUUUAACAAGUAUUUGGAAGAUCUUAGGAUGAGCAUAUCAAUAUACCCUUGUCCAGAGACAGGAAUGUUCCUAGAAAAUUAAGUCGGAACAAUAUAGGAUGGAUAUGUAAAUGGAGACGAUGUUAGAAAACAAAGUAAAUUAACCUCUGCCACUAUAACCCAUGGAAUUCCUUCCAUCCCUGCUUGGUAUGAGGCCAUAUACACCUGACAUACAAGCCAAAUAAUUAACUCUCUCUCUUACUCUCUUAAUCUCUUACAUUUGUAGCUUACAUAUAAAUAUACACUAAAAUAAGUAAAAAGAAUAAAGAAUUUACAUUCUCAUAUGCAAUGCUAGAAGAGAAUGCAACUUACCCAAAUGUUUUAUGUUGACAAAAAAAGCUUUGCAUUUGUAGUUAAUUUGAUAUUUUACAUGCACAAUCUAUAGAGAGAGAGCAUGUAAUCCAGCACUUGAAUUGAAACAAUAAAAAUCAUACAAAAAGAUAUGGAAGGGUCAUUUUGCCACUUUUUUGUUUACUAAGGUGUUAUGCUAUGAAGUAGAAAAUAUCUGCUUUUAUUGAAUAUUUGUUCUUAGUAGUUAUUUAUAUAUCCAUCCAUGCAAUGUUCUAAUCUCAUAUCUUGAAUUACAACACACUAACAGGUACGAGCCCAAUACCAUUGAUCUAUCAGAUCACAAAAAGUUUAGAGUAAGUGUGCUCUUCAAAUAUGCUACUUAAUACUCAUUAUUCUGGACUUCGUAAGAGUGCCUUGCAAAAUAGAUCAUAAUAACUUUUAUGAUCCAAGAUAUUGAUUCUGCAAACAUGGAUUCUUUAUCUUAUUUUUUUAUAUACAUGUUUUAGGUACUGGUUCACUGUUUCAGAGCACUUGCUUGACCUUGUUGAUAAGAUAAAUAAAUAUACACACUAUGAGGUAUCUAGGAUUCUCUCUAACAUAAGAGAAUUUUCCAUUUGUAUUCUAAGGAGUCAUUUCAAGUAGAGUUCUGAAAUCAUAUAAGCUUGAGGCUAUUGUUAUAAAUAUGAUUUUUUACUUUCAAUUGUUAUAUAUUUUUAAUUAGUAUACAAUUUUAUCAGUUUCAAAAUAUAAUAGUUUUGACUUAAACAACCAUAGAUCAUUAUCUUGCCAAUUGAUAUAUUAUCCCAACUUUAUGGCUUAAACAUGAUUUGUCUUAUACCCUUUCCUUACAAUCAAAAUAUUAACCCAACUUUAUGGCGAAAAAAAACUAGCUUCCUCUCCCUUUAUAAGUUUGUGUUGUUGUUUUCAAUUUUUAGAUUAUUUAUUUGUUAAUUUUGAUUAAUUUAAUUAUAUGUUUAGUCCCUUGUUGACUAAGGCUAGUAUAGUUGAGUUUUUACAUCAGCAAGUUCUUGAUAUAGAGCACGAUUUUGUAGGGCAGUUACUGAGCUUCAAAUUAUCUAUUUCUUUCUCUUUUUUGGUCAGACCGAAUUAAGCAGGCCAAAGUUUGUAAAGGUAAUAGCAAUGAAUUCACCCUUAUAUUUAAAACUACUACUACUUUCUCUUCGAUUGAUAUUUGAUGCUUGGAAAUAUUGCGAUAUGCUAAAUACCCCACAUUUUGUCUGGUAGAUACUUUGAGAAUGGAGUUGAAUUUCAAUAGGCUGUUUAGUUGUAAAUGGAGUUGAGAAUGGAGUUGAGAAUGGAGCAUGCUAUUGUCUUUAUCUGGAUAUGCUACUUGCAAACUGUUAAAGCCUUCAUUGUCCUAUAUUUAAAACGUUCAUUCUCAUAUGUUGUUUGCAAACUGUUUGCCUGAAUGUUUAACCUAUAUGCUCGUGGAGUAUGUAUGUGAUCUCUUUUGCUCCUUAGUUAUUAAAUUGGUUUUGGUUUAAUAAUGUCCUAUGGUGUUGAUUAUUAGGAAAGUUUGGUUGAAUAUUCAUUCCUUUUUUGCAAUCAAUUUGAAAGGGGUUUUUUUGUUUCUAUUUUAGUCUAUAAAUUUUCAAGUUUAUUACUGUACAUAUUUUGUGACAUUCAAAUUAAUUCUUACAUUUUAAUGAUUAAUUUAACUCAAUAAUUACAGUUUAGCAUUAGUUGCACUAUUUAAAC